Molecule: ribosomal RNA, 544 nt
Filed under: Longpotamon depressum depressum
Lineage: Eukaryota; Metazoa; Arthropoda; Malacostraca; Decapoda; Potamidae
Description: partial 16S ribosomal RNA
Rfam family: Bacterial large subunit ribosomal RNA
Source: RNAcentral
GUUUGUUUGGAGUUAUAAAGAAUUUAACCUGCCCCCUGAUUAAUUAUUAAAGGGCCGCAGUAUUAUAACUGUGCAAAGGUAGCAUAAUCAUUAGGUUUUUAAUUGAAAUCUCGUAUGAAUGGUUGGACAAAAGAAAAACUCUCUUUAUAUUAAGUUUUGAAUUUAACUUUUAAGUGAAAAGGCUUAAAUGUCCUAAAGGGACGAUAAGACCCUAUAAAACUUUACAUUGUCAUUAAUUUUGAUUGAAUUUAUGAAAUAAGAAUUUUAUUUGGUUAUUUGUUAUGUUGGGGAGAUAUAAGUAAAAUAUUUUUUUAACUGCUUUGAUAGUUAUACAAUUAUAAAUGGUAAGUAGAAGAUCCUUUUUUAAGAUUAAUAGAUUAAGUUACUUUAGGGAUAACAGUGUGAUUUCUUUUGAGAGUUCUUAUCGAAAAAGAAGAUUGCAACCUCGAUGUUGAAUUAAAAUAUCUAUAUAAUGGAGAGGUUAUAUAAGAAGGUCUGUUCGACCUUGAAAUUUUUACAUGAUUUGAGUUCAAACCGGUGUAAG